AUUUCCUUGAACCUAACCAUUACAUCAUUCACUCUGUGCAAUGGCUAGACCUUGUUCACUAGAGGUCAGUGGGAAACUAUUGGACCUCCAUGCAAGAAUUCCUGCAAGUUGGUCUUGCAGAGUCCUAACAGAAGCAUCACUUUCAAACUAUGGAAGCUGCUUUCCAGCAAGGUAGACAAUCAGCAGCAGAAGUCCUGGGGUUCGGAGAUUUUCCUUGCCCUGACUGGAGACGACAGUGAAUGAAUGUGGGAACUGCUGCAUGCAAAAUAUGUGCUCCACCACAGUAGAGAGAAUGCUGCAAAGUAAUUGUGCCUUUUUAAAUUUUUUGUAUUAUUACUUAUUUUCCAAAAUACAAAAGGUGACACGUUAUCAUUAUAUAGGGCAAUACAUGUUGUGAAAUUGCUAUCAAGCGACAUCUGCAUUUUUUUUAAAACUCCACUUAUUCAGGCACUUCUCCCAGUACUGUAUCAGUUAAGUUCAAACAGGUAUAAAGACUUUUUGA
This is a non-coding RNA of Pogona vitticeps (central bearded dragon), 502 nucleotides long. Lineage: Eukaryota; Metazoa; Chordata; Lepidosauria; Squamata; Agamidae. The record is from RefSeq and is a predicted model, not a curated record.